RNAcentral lists this small nuclear RNA (122 nucleotides) under Penicillium freii. Its description in RNAcentral is "U4 spliceosomal RNA". It matches the Rfam family "U4 spliceosomal RNA". From Rfam's summary of the family: U4 small nuclear RNA (U4 snRNA) is a component of the major U2-dependent spliceosome. The structure of U4 snRNA from yeast and human has been reported. U4 snRNA presents a k-turn RNA motif in the 5p-SL related to recognition of Snu13 protein. Lineage: Eukaryota; Fungi; Ascomycota; Eurotiomycetes; Eurotiales; Aspergillaceae. The record is from Rfam by way of RNAcentral.
AUCCGAGUGCAUGGGUCUUACACGAAUCAAUGAGGAUCAUCCGAGAUCGUGUUUGCUGGUCAAAACAACUGACCACUUCAAGUGAGCUUAAUCGCUUGGGAAUUUUUGAAGCUACCCUUAAC